This 253-nucleotide ribosomal RNA is filed under the name uncultured bacterium. RNAcentral's name for it is "partial 16S ribosomal RNA". It matches the Rfam family "Bacterial small subunit ribosomal RNA", at positions 524 to 776 of the family's 1533-position model. The record is from RNAcentral.
UACGUAGGGGGCUAGCGUUACUCGGAAUGACUGGGCGUAAAGGGCGCGUAGGCGGUUUGCUUAGUUAGGCGUGAAAUUCCUGGGCUCAACCUGGGGGCUGCGCUUAAUACAGGCAGACUAGAGUGUGAAAGAGGGUCGUGGAAUUUCCAGUGUAGAGGUGAAAUUCGUAGAUAUUGGAAAGAACACCGGUGGCGAAGGCGGCGACCUGGUUCAUUACUGACACUGAGGCGCGAAAGCGUGGGGAGCAAACAGG